Brassica oleracea var. oleracea is the source of this 537-nucleotide long non-coding RNA. RefSeq lists it as uncharacterized. Lineage: Eukaryota; Viridiplantae; Streptophyta; Magnoliopsida; Brassicales; Brassicaceae. The transcript has 5 exons. The record is from RefSeq and is a predicted model, not a curated record.
AGUAGAAGAAGAAGAAGACAAACAUGGAGAUGAUGUUGAACUGAAUCUACUCUACAUUGUACAUUCUGACAUCUCAUCUCUUCUUCACCAGGUCCUUGCUUACUUCCUGCUCUUGUCCACACAAACCAGAAGUAAGAAUGUCUGCUUCUGGUGGAAUGGCGUGUGAAGAAGUCGGCGAAGAAGUACCUUUUAUUCUAUGGUACGUCUCUGUCUUUCAAUGAUUAAAUCAAGAGUUUAUGCUAACUGAACAUGUUAAGGACUACUUUCAGAGCAGCAGCAAAGUCAGAAACUUCAAAGUGAUAGCUCUCCAAUCUGAUAACAUCACAAUCAAUAGAGUUGAGAGUCUUCUCAAAAGACACCAAACCUUUUACUGACCGGAUUACCGCUGAGUACAUCUGCUAUGGACGAGCACCUGGAGAAGAUACUGAAGUGAUUUUCUAGUAAGAGUUUUCUUAAGUGUUGGUACUAAAUGAAGCUGAGAAGCUCUCACGAGAAGCACACUUGCCGUCUCAUCUUAUGCUGUAACAGUUCUGACAG